GUCUUCUUAUCUAGGGGUGGGCAAUAUAAACGAUAUAAGGUAGAAAUGAUAUAAAAUUGGGUAAUGAUAGUUUUUGGCUAUAUGGCAAUACGGCGAUAUUGUGAUAACACAUGACGUCACUAAGAUGUGCACCCUGAUGACAAUGGGACAACAGAAUGACGGUGACUGCAAGCAUGGAGUGUGCAGAGGAGGAGGCCUAUAUGCCUCAAGUGGCAUAUAUUUGCCACAUGAGGAUAUCUAAAAGCAUGUCAAUUUGACAUUUAUAAACAGAUGAAAAAAUAUAUCGCAAUAUAUAUCGUUACUGCACAUGCUUCAGAUUAUAUCGCAAUAUAGAUUGAGGCCAUAUUGCCCAGCCCUAUUCUUAUCUACACUCUUUUUUUAAACUCCAUAGUCUUAAAACAAUAUAUUAAUUCUACUUUUAUUUAUUGUUUUCAUAACAGAAUAGAACUGUUAUGAAAACUUUGUCAGGCUGACGAAGUUUGCAGCCGCAAACAAAACGUUGCAGGUAAAUAAAACCCUUCUAUGUUUUAAAAAGAACUAAAAGAUGGAAUUGUUGUUUUAUCCUUGUUCACAGGCUGGGAUCCUAAAGGGAAUUUCCAUCCUACUUGUGUGGCUGAAUGACAUCUUCAACCAAUUUUGGUACAUCUGCCAGAAAGCACAACAUCGUGAUACGUUUAAUGUAAGUAUUGUGACAUCUUUUGGACAACAAGACAACAAUGCACAUUGACAUAAUUACCUUUCUUUUCAUAAUAGUGCCAGCUCUCGUGUUUCUGUUGGUGAGCGCUUCUGUCACAUGUAAAGUUUUCAAAUAAAACUUAUUUUUUCUGUUAGGACAUGUGGGUGGGUGUGCUUCACCAUGUCACAGGGAAGCAUGAAUGGACCCGUGGCAAAUGUGACCAUGGACCACUUGAUGCAACGACCAGUGAUAAAGAGCUCAUGGUGCCAUGAUCUCCACCACACGAGGCUCUUCAACGAAUCAUGUUCAACAGACGCUGGUUGAAGGAUGUCACCAAUCUGACCUUUAGGCCCCAGCUACGUGAAGCAUCAAAAGACAGGAAUGACUUCUUUCAUGCACACAGAUUUAUUAGAAA
Non-coding RNA from Nothobranchius furzeri (turquoise killifish), 1091 nucleotides. Lineage: Eukaryota; Metazoa; Chordata; Actinopteri; Cyprinodontiformes; Nothobranchiidae. The record is from RefSeq and is a predicted model, not a curated record.